RNAcentral lists this ribosomal RNA (795 nucleotides) under uncultured Polaribacter sp. Its description in RNAcentral is "bacterial SSU rRNA". It matches the Rfam family "Bacterial small subunit ribosomal RNA", at positions 67 to 864 of the family's 1533-position model. Lineage: Bacteria; Pseudomonadati; Bacteroidota; Flavobacteriia; Flavobacteriales; Flavobacteriaceae. The record is from RNAcentral.
GGGUAACAUUGUGCUUGCACAGAUGACGACCGGCACACGGGUGCGUAACGCGUAUAGAACCUACCUUUUACAGAGGAAUAGCCUUUAGAAAUGAAGAUUAAUGCCUCAUAGUAUUGUAGACUGGCAUCAGUUUAUAAUUAAAGAUUUAUCGGUAAAAGAUGGCUAUGCGUCCUAUUAGUUAGUUGGUAAGGUAACGGCUUACCAAGACAGCGAUAGGUAGGGGUCCUGAGAGGGAGAUCCCCCACACUGGUACUGAGACACGGACCAGACUCCUACGGGAGGCAGCAGUGAGGAAUAUUGGACAAUGGAGGAGACUCUGAUCCAGCCAUGCCGCGUGUAGGAAGAAUGCCCUAUGGGUUGUAAACUACUUUUAUACAGGAAGAAACACCGGUAUGUAUACCAGCUUGACGGUACUGUAAGAAUAAGGACCGGCUAACUCCGUGCCAGCAGCCGCGGUAAUACGGAGGGUCCGAGCGUUAUCCGGAAUCAUUGGGUUUAAAGGGUCCGCAGGCGGUCGAUUAAGUCAGAGGUGAAAUCCCAUAGCUCAACUAUGGAACUGCCUUUGAUACUGGUUGACUUGAGUCAUAUGGAAGUAGAUAGAAUGUGUAGUGUAGCGGUGAAAUGCAUAGAUAUUACACAGAAUACCGAUUGCGAAGGCAGUCUACUACGUAUGUACUGACGCUGAGGGACGAAAGCGUGGGGAGCGAACAAGAUUAGAUACCCUGGUAGUCCACGCCGUAAACGAUGGAUACUAGUUGUUGGGAUUUAUCUCAGUGACUAAGCGAAAGUGAUAAG